UACGUAGGUGGCAAGCGUUGUCCGGAAUUACUGGGCGUAAAGGGCGUGUAGGUGGACUGAUCAGUCGGAUGUGAAAUAUCCAGGCUUAACCUGGGGGCUGCAUUCGAUACGGUCAGUCUUGAGUGCAGGAGAGGGCAGUGGAAUUCCCAGUGUAGCGGUGAAAUGCGUAGAUAUUGGGAGGAACACCAGUGGCGAAGGCGGCUGCCUGGACUGUAACUGACACUGAGGCGCGAAAGCGUGGGGAGCAAAC
RNAcentral lists this ribosomal RNA (250 nucleotides) under uncultured bacterium. RNAcentral describes it as "partial 16S ribosomal RNA". It matches the Rfam family "Bacterial small subunit ribosomal RNA", at positions 524 to 773 of the family's 1533-position model. The record is from RNAcentral.